AUGAACAGUUGAUGAUAGUUUAUAUAUUGCCAUCCAAGAAUUAUGAGUUUGCGAAUAAGAGUCGCAAUAUAAUGAACAGAAAGUCUCGUGUAUUAAAUCAAUUGUGUUGCAUUACAAAAGAACACAUUCCAAAGAUUACAAGAUGUGAAACAAUCUAGUAGUAGCCCAAUUGUCAACCUUGCAAUCAACUACAAUGGUUGAAACGUUGACCUUAAAUAUGACAUUCUAAUUAUCUAAUAGUGGCCACAUUCUCGACGUUGCCAUCAACAUCUAACCCAAGCAUCAUCACUUCUUGGCAAUCUACAACAACAAAUAAAUAAGAUGAGUAACGUAUGGCAAAAAAAAAACUGGUUAACGCAAUAGAAAUUCAAAGAAGACCAAAUGGUUAACGCAAUCUACAACAACAUUCUCGACGUUGCCAUCAACAUCUAACCCAAGCAUCAUCACCAUGGUAGCUCUGUACAAAGAUUAUAUAUCAAAUGUUUGUAAACUGCAGAUUCAGCAUCUGGUUGGUAAUUUAGAAGACCAAAUAUAUGUAUACUGACAUCAAAUUUGAUUGGUUAACAAAUUGUAACCUGCAUGAGCCAAUAACACCCUUGGUGAACUGGGGAAACAAAAUUAAGUUCUGCUUACAAAACACACUGUAGACCGGCUGCCUGUCAUCAAUAAAUCAUUAUUCAUACGCUGGUAUCUAGCAAAAUUGUUUAUCUCAUUUUAAAUACUGUAUACUGAAUAUGAACUCUGAAUUAAUCUGAAAUCCUAAGGAAGUGAUAUUAGUAUGCUGAAAAUCUUAUUAAUAAAUAAAUAUAGCGAUAUUAGUAUGCUGAAAAUCUAUUUAACAAAUAAAUAUAUUUUUCAAGGGACAUGGUUCAAUAUUCACGUAAGUGAUUACUAUACUAAUAGGUAGGCUACUUUUUCAACAACGUACAGUUAGUGUUGUUUGAACCAAAAAAUUGCUUGCAAAAAAGAAUACUGUAACAGUUUAAAGUACAUUGCUAAAUGAGAUGGGCAAUGCAAAAACUAAACAUCCUUGGAUCAUGUCAUUUUUAUUUUCCUAGUACUGUACAUGCAGGUAACUUUUCCUCCUUGGCCAAACAGUUACCCGUGCAUAAUCAGUAGUUGUAACUAUACUUACUUAGAUCCAUCUGACUUCUCAGUACUGCAUCUUGCAUUAUAUUCGCUGCAUUAGUUCGGCCGAGUCGCUGCUGUCCAUAAAGGAGAUGCACCUAACCUCGCCUGUACAACCCAUCAAGGAGAGACAUUGUUCCUGCCCUGCACGUUUACAACUAAACCAAAUUUUAAACCCAAAAAUGAGCAUAGUCGAAGCCUGGAAUGGCAACCUGGUGGAUAAUAUUGGUGUAACUGAUGAUGCGGACACCAAAAUAGAUAGAAGUGGGGCGGCACAAGAAACAUAUAGAACCGACAGGAACGAGUUAAGAUGUGCAGAGAUGUGCAUGUCUGACUCAUUUCUUUCCUGCCAAAGUGUGUCAAACAAAUUAAUAAGAUUCAUAACACUGAUAAGGGGAUCUUUUUUUCUCCAUAAAGUAAUCAAAAUGUCAUUCGCCGUUAAUAGUGUUGACCCAUUGAUCCUUGAAGAUCCACUUUGAUGACAUGGUCACAAACUAGGAUAAGUUUGAGAUGAUAUGGCAGCUAAUUGAAUGAGUAUGAUGAUCAACUUCAACUGAAAAUAUUAGUAAUUAAGUAUUCACCUACAUACUAUAUAGUUGCAAGAAAAUCAAAGAAAUUAAAUGCAUCACAAAAACAGUUUGUCAGAAAAGGAGGAAGCAAAUAUUCUUCCUGUGAAUUAACACAGAUAACCACGGUUCCAUAUAUGUAAAUCAGUCAGAUAAGUAGCAACAACCUGCAGAUGGAGAACUAGAUAGGAAACAUGCCUAAAAUUGAACAUCUGGAAAGGAGAAGUGGGAGCUUGGGCCUGCCCUAUUCUACAACACUACAGCGGGAAAUCCAGCGAAGAUGUUGAAAUACUAAAAUGACUAAGAACUGAAAGAUCCAGCAGAGAAAUAUGGAUGCGUCGCCAUCGACGCCGGUGGAUCAGAUCGACGGAGGGCGGGAAUUGCGGCUGAGAAAGGUUGGACUGAGAAAACAAGAGGAUUGCAGAAGUACGUACAGUGAUGAUGUUCUGGUGGCGGAGGCAGAGGGAGACCACGAAGGCUGCGCUCGAACUAGGCGGCGAUGGCGGGAUCCAGCUCUAGCUGGCUCACC
Molecule: long non-coding RNA, 2223 nt
Filed under: Triticum aestivum (bread wheat)
Lineage: Eukaryota; Viridiplantae; Streptophyta; Magnoliopsida; Poales; Poaceae
Description: long non-coding RNA (TAES_LNC001185)
Source: RNAcentral